This 148-nucleotide unclassified non-coding RNA is filed under the name Bursaphelenchus xylophilus (pine wood nematode). RNAcentral's name for it is "partial internal transcribed space 2". The record is from RNAcentral. Lineage: Eukaryota; Metazoa; Nematoda; Chromadorea; Rhabditida; Aphelenchoididae.
AAACUCGAGCAGAAACGCCGACUUGUUUUUUUCAAGUUUCUGCACGUUGUGACAGUCGUCUCGCAUUGUUCGCGCAAUGUUAGGCACCAUCUGUUUUACGCGGUUUGUUCCGCGACCAAUAUCUUCUACGCACUGUUUGUCCGUGCAA